GUUACUAUUUCAAAAUAAAACAGGAAAUGACAAGACAAAUAAACCAGACAAAAUAAAACUAACCCAACAACUUCACUGCGGAGUGACAAAAAUAAAAGCAUAAGGCAAUAAAAUACUUAUUAUACAACUGUUUGUUGUAUUUUUGCACCAUCAAUUCUCUCCCCUCUGAAUCCUUUCUGUGGUGGAAAAUUGUGGAUUAAGCCCUUGUGAUAAAUCAAAAGUAUCUUGAACUCGCUUUGUGAUAAAGUAUUUAUUACUAACUAGAAUAUAGAAAAAUGAUAAAGAAUACAGAAAUCAUCCACACAAGUCAUAAGUACAGACAGAAGUCAAAUGACUACAAUUUAGCUUAAAAGGGGCAGAUUGUUCUUCCUCCCUCAGAGGAGCUCGAACAUCUCCCUUAAUGGGACCUAGUCAAUCAUGUUUGACAGGCAGAGGAAUCAGGAAUCAGGAAUCAGGAAACAUGUAUUGCCAUAAUAUGUCAGACAUACAAGGAAUUUGACUUGGCAGUUGGUGCAUAACGGCAGACAGUACGACAAUGGACGACAAGACAACAGUGCCAGACGGAUAAAAUAAAAUAUAAUGCUAUGGGUUAGUUUAAAAAUAAAGGAAUAAAAGCUAAAAGUUAAAAAUAUUUAAAAAAAUUAAAAAUAAAGUGCACCAGUGAACUGAAAGUGACGUGUGCAGUGUGAAAGAAAGUAACCGGUGGAAUGUCAGAGAAAACAGGAUAUGGAUCAGUCGAGGGACCUUCCAAACAGGAUGCUAGUUCAGGUCACGAGUUUACGUUCUUAAACUCCACAGCUUUGCCUUUCAGGCAUCUUAUGAAGUCAUGUGAUGCUCAGAAAACAAGUUAACAUCCAGGGAUCAAAAGAUUCCAACAAGGGAGUGUAAAAUAUUAUUUGGAAGUACGGCAUAAACAUUUGAUUAGUUGGUCUGUCGCAUAAGAGAAAUUGCAGCACAAAUGAAGUGAAAAACAAAUGUCCUGGGACAAGUACUAUAGCCACAGCAACGAUGAUCAUCCUGCUCUGGUACGCACACUGAGAGGCUCCUCGGGAAAAACUAACCAAAAUAUGACUGUUAAGAGGUGAAUGUCGAACACUGUGAACAAGCAAAGACAUGCACUUGUAACCUUAUAUUGGGGGCAACCGUGGCGACGGUGGCGCAUCGAGUACCGAGGGUGCGCCGCGAACCACAGGGGCGUCGGUUUGAACCCCGGCUGAUCCAUGUCCCGUGUCGACGUGUCUGUGAGCACGACACCCAACCCCUAAACUGCUGCGCGGGCGGCCUUACAGCUGCACACUGCUCCCACCAUGUGGGAAGUGUUAAAAUGCAAUGCAAGUCACUUUGGAUAACAGCGUCAGCUACAUGACAUGUAAUGUGUUGUUUGGGGACAGUUCCUAUGUAGUUCUACAUUCAAUGACUUUACAAAUAAUAGCCUUGUUUCUUAAUAGGAAACUUAAAAAGAAAACAGAAGUGUGGCUCCUGCCCACAUUUCACCAUAUGUGAAUUGACAAUUAUUGAGAAGGCAAGAAAAAAAGGAUGUAUCCUGUCCCUGAGGGCAUUAUUCUUCUUCUUCUUCUUUCUUGGGCAACUCCAAAAGCAAGUGAAGGAAUUAGUAAUUUAGUAAAAAGCAAUGGACCAGGCAGACGGAACCACCAGCUGGACCAAAACCAGACACUUUAGCAUUAACACUCACGUGACUCCUCUUAUGCCCAAGAAGGAUCGAUAAAGUCAGUGGUUGAAGCAAACUCUCUCCUGGUCGAUUUACCCACCCUGUUGCUCUAUUUAUUUCAGAAAAUGGUGUUGUUACACAAAAGUUGUUUUGUGAGUCAAGCGGCCCCUCCUCCCCAAAUAGUUUCAGGCUACUAGACAAGCUCAAAGCUUAUUUAAGAGCACAAAUAAUAUUGUAUACAAUGGGUAUCAAAUAUACGUGUGACGACUCGAAGAGACAGUGAAGAUUAACUUCCUGUUUUAUUUUUGUAACCACUGCACUUCCUGUAUCUAGUUUGUCACCCUUCGUUUCUCCCCACAGCUGAGUUUAGUUUGCAAUCACCUCCACCUGUAUUUAAGCCUCAGUUUCCCCCCACUUGUCUGAGUCAGGUUAUCUUUUGUCUUUCCCAGAGGUGCAUGUUUGUAGUAAGAAAUUCCCAGUGCUGUUGACAGGCCCUCUUCCUUUUUUGUUUCUACAAGAGCGUGUGGGUUCCGCCUUUGCCUGUGCACCCUUUUUGUCUUGCAUUAGUUUUUUCCGAGUAAAAGAUUCCAAACCUGGAAAGAAGUUUUUGUUGCCUUAUUGCUCUGCACCUGAGUCGAAGUCCUGACCCCUCACAAUACGGCAGAGAUAAACAGCUGGAAGGAGAUAUUUUGAAAAUGGAAAAAUACUUUCAACAAUCUGGGUCUAAAGAACUUUAACAAAACAUAAACCAAACAAAAAUAUUAAGAAUUGGGUUAUUGGGCUCAUAAAAUUCUACCCUGGCAACUGAGAACAGAGGAGAGCUCAAGGACAAUUAAUGUAAUCCAAACAGAAACCGGUUCAGAUACAUAUGACCCCACAGAAAUCAAUGACGCAUUCAAACAGUUUUACAUUAAUCUAUAUCAGAGUAGUCAAAGGACCUGGCUAAGAUUUGGUCUACCAAUGAAUUGCCAAAACUCAGCCAUGAAGACAGAAAUAAUCUAGAUUUGCCCUUCACCAAGGGAGAAACCCAAACAGCCUCAGGCUCACUACAAUCCCAGGAGAGAAUCGCUUCCCUCCCAAAUUCAAAGACUUUAAAGACUUACUCUCACGCCUUCUAGUGGAGGUGAUUCAUUUAACAUAAACUACUCAAACUCUCCCUCAAUCAUUCUCUACUACCAUAAUCACUGCGAUUCACAAAAAGAACAACAAUCCAUUCAAAUAAUUCUUCUUUUUGACCCAUUUUGUUAUUGAAUUCGGAUUCAAAAAAUAAAUAAGCUGUAACGGCAUGUAAUGACACGCGACUCCAGGGGUCUUUGACCUUUUAUUAAAGCUCUGGAACAGCAGGCAGAAUAACUAAUAAAUAAACUGUGACAUAAGCCUUAAGCAGUGAAGAAUUACAAUGAUAAUAAAUGUAUGUAAUUCUAUGAAUACAAUUUACAAAGAGAAGUUGUAAAAUAUUAUUUGGAAAUACGGCAUAAACAUUUGACUAGUUGGUCUGUCACAUAAGAGAAAUUGCAGUAUGAAUGAAAUUAAAAACACAUGUCCUGGGACAAGUACUAUAUGAUCAGCCUGUUCUGGUAUGCACACUGUUGCAAGGUCGAGAAAGGCUCCUCCUCAGUAAAAAAUAAUGAAAUU
Molecule: long non-coding RNA, 3304 nt
Organism: Gasterosteus aculeatus aculeatus (three-spined stickleback)
Lineage: Eukaryota; Metazoa; Chordata; Actinopteri; Perciformes; Gasterosteidae
Source: Ensembl